Molecule: long non-coding RNA, 2914 nt
Filed under: Podarcis lilfordi (Lilford's wall lizard)
Lineage: Eukaryota; Metazoa; Chordata; Lepidosauria; Squamata; Lacertidae
Source: RNAcentral
GUGGCCGGCGCGGCCGACCUUCCACCCUCCGCCCCCGCCAUCUCCUCCUCCUCCUCGCCCCGGUAGCGGAAGCUCUUCUGUCGGCUUCGCGCUGCCGCCAUCUCGGCAGCAGGAGGAGGUGGAGGAGGAGGAGGGGUUGGCGCGGGCAGCGUCUGCCUGGUCAGGCGGGGCGGGAAGCGGAAGGAGGGACACCCGGCGCGGCCUGUAAGUUACCCCCGCGAGGCCCGAGGCCCCGCCGUUGCCCCGGCGAUGAGGCCGGGGCCCUCCGUGAGAGGGUGGGAGGAGGGCUCUCUAGGUCCAAGGGUGACGCGGGAGCAGGAACGUUUUUUCCCCCUUCCUCUCCCCCCCCCCCAUUUCCAAAAUAACGAAAUUUCAGUCUUGGGGGGUCCCCGCCAUGGCGAGCUGGGAGAGGCGGCCCUUCCUGAGGAAUCAAAUCUUAAAAGCGGGGCUUUUCAGGCUGGUCUCGAUAAGCUAGGGCUGCACGGGGGAGGUCCUUGAGAAAUAGUAAUAAUUAAUAAUAAAAAUAAUGACGCAUAAAGGGCUUUUUUUUUUUUUUUUGCUCUGACAAACCGGGUAGUGGUUUGGUGGGGGAGGGGGGAGGAGUUGUAAUGUAAUGUAAGGAUUUUCAGCCUUGGGGUCCUAUCCAUACCAAGAGGUUGAGGUAAAUCCUUGCAAGAUUGGUACAAAGGGUGGUUUUGCUUUAUGGGGAGCUGGGGCGUGGCUUAGGGGGGGCCUUGUGAAAUCGUUAUUAUCAUAUAAUAAAUUCCGUAGUAAGUUGGGGAGCUGCUUGGAGAGGUAAUCGCAAAGUUAUUAUUGAGGGGGGAUUUUUCAGCCUUGUGGGAGGUCUCGUCAUGCCAAGUUGGGGACAGCGUGGGGGGGGGCAGGUGGAGGAUACUUGUCAAACUAUUGUUGUUAUUAAGAGGGACCCUUACCCACAUCACUGUUCUGCUACAAAACCAACUUGUGAUGAGGGGUUCUUUAUUUGAUACUGUACAUUGACACUUAUUUCUUUUUCUUUCAAAUGCUAGCCUCUCUUAUUCCUCCUCCUUCUCCCCCACUUUGCCAUAAGGUCACCUUUCUUCCUUAAUCUACAGCCUCUGAUUUUACUUGUCAAAUCUACUCUGUGUAUUUAGAGUACAUGAUUUCCCAACCCUCCCAAAAAAAUUAAAUAAGGGUGCUGGGAAUUGUAAGGGUAAAUAUUCAGAGUCAUGUGCUUUAAAUGUAUGGCAUGGGAUAUGACUACAGUGGUACCUUGGGUUAAGGACUUAAUUCGUUCCAGAGGUCCAUUCUUAACCUGAAACUGUUCUUAACCUGAAGCACCACUUUAGCUAAUGGGGCCUCCCGCUGCCGCUGCCACGCGAUUUCUGUUCUCAUCCUGAAGCAAAGUUCUUAACCCGAGGUACUAUUUCUGGGUUAGCAGAGUCUGUAACCUGAAGCGUCUGUAACCUGAAGCAUAUGUAACCUGAGGUACCACUGUACUUACUGCCACUCAAAUGAUGAUAAUUAUUUGGGGGUGGUUUAUUCCUCUGUCCCUAUAAUAGCAACUGGGGUAUGUGUAUCUACUCUUAGUCAUUGGGCUAAGGGUGAUUAUUUCCAAUUGCACUAUGUACAGUGGGAUUAAGACAAUCUGUUUCCGUCUUGUAUGUGGGAUAGAGGAGCGGGGACACCGUUGCAUGUUAAGUGUGGACAAUUUAAACAAGGGGUACUGAAGCCUCUCAUUUUGGGUAGCUGGAUUUUUAAGGUGGUGUUAUUUUUCAAGUAGGUGGAGACUUUCUUGGUUUGAUGAAGAUGAUUAAGGCCAACCUAUCAGCCUGGAACUGAGGCUCAGUUGUAAUCUUUUCCUCCUCCCCUGGAACAGGUUGAUGAGACUACCGGGUGUGGACAGCGAAUGACAUACUGUCAUUGAGCAAUUCAGGACACACCCGGUUGUAUUUUGUGGACCUUCAUUGCUUUUAAAAAGCUAGCCUGGCAUUCUCAGUGGAUUAUUCUUUAUGCAAUUGUACUCAAAAUAACCCACAUGGAGCGAAAACUUGACUAUCUGGACCAAAAUGAAUUAUGGGCAAGAGUAGCAGCCCCCAUUAAUUCUCCUUUUCCAAGAAAAAGACCUCACCCUACUGGGAAUUCUCCUCGCAAUCCCAGAUAUAGUUUCUGCUCCUUCUCUCUCUCAACCCAGCUCAAUAUCAUUCAAAGCGUGGACAAAAUGUUGCCUUCGUAGGGUCCUCUACACCUUGGCCCACAAUCAUUGUUGCCACUGCAGCCUCCUUCAAACACUGUUUAUGUGACUUUGUGUCUGUGGCAAGAUUGUUUGUGCUUAGUCCAGGCUCAUAAAGUGUAAGCAGGGAACUGUGAGCAGAGUUCACUCUGAGAAAAUGAUUGGCAGCAAAGUGAAUCUCUUGUGUUUUGGUGGGGUGAGCAUUUUGCACAACUGGUUUGCCACGGGGGACCCAGGCUAGAAAUGAGCAGAUUUGCUGGUGCCAUAAUGGUUGUAUGGGUUUGUUUUAUGUGGCCAGAAGAGAGAUAGUUAAGGGAAAGUGUAACUGCCAUGCAGUUUGUUUAUCCCCUGAUGGCCCUCAAGCAAACAGCAAUUAUAAUACCUGAACUCAUAGCUUAGCAGUAAAUGCUUUUGGCUGGAAAAAGUACUGCAGUUCUGUAAUGGUCUUACACACUGUUUCUCCUUAACCUGCCUGCUUAAGGGGCAGUACAGCCAGCCAGAGUAGUGGCAUGGUACUUUUUCCACCUGAAACUCCCCAUGUCCAAUAGCAGGGCACCAUCUGACAACCAAGCUGCAAAGGCAUGUGACUGUUAGUUGGCCCAUGUUCAGGAGAUCUCGUUCCCGUACUUGUUUUAUUUUAUAUUCUUUAUUGAAAUAUAAAAAAACUACAUAAUUACAAGUGCACAGGGUAAGAUAAGACAC